UUCUGGUUGAUCCUGCCGGACCUGACUGCUAUCGGAUUGAUACUAAGCCAUGCGAGUCAUUGUAGCAAUACAAGGCAUACGGCUCAGUAACGCGUAGUCAACCUAACCUAUGGACGGGAAUAACCUCGGGAAACUGAGAAUAAUGCCCGAUAGAACAUUAUGCCUGGAAUGGUUUAUGUUCCAAAUGAUUUAUCGCCGUAGGAUGGGACUGCGGCCUAUCAGUUUGUUGGUGAGGUAAUGGCCCACCAAGACUAUUACAGGUACGGGCUCUGAGAGGAGUAGCCCGGAGAUGGGUACUGAGACACGGACCCAGGCCCUAUGGGGCGCAGCAGGCGAGAAAACUUUGCAAUGUGCGAAAGCACGACAAGGUUAAUCCGAGUGGUUUCUGCUAAAGAAACCUUUUGUCAGUCCUAGAAACACUGAUGAAUAAGGGGUGGGCAAGUUCUGGUGUCAGCCGCCGCGGUAAAACCAGCACCUCAAGUGGUCAGGAUGAUUAUUGGGCCUAAAGCAUCCGUAGCCGGCUCUGUAAGUUUUCGGUUAAAUCUGUACGCUCAACGUACAGGCUGCCGGGAAUACUGCAGAGCUAGGGAGUGGGAGAGGUAGACGGUACUCGGUAGGAAGGGGUAAAAUCCUUUGAUCUAUUGAUGACCACCUGUGGCGAAGGCG
Molecule: ribosomal RNA, 666 nt
Filed under: uncultured marine group I thaumarchaeote
Lineage: Archaea; Thermoproteati; Nitrososphaerota
Description: bacterial SSU rRNA
Rfam family: Archaeal small subunit ribosomal RNA
Source: RNAcentral